CACACACACACACACACACAGAGCGCCUUGUCUUGUGCUUCUGAGGAAAGAAUUAUUUGAAUUUUCUUAUUAUAGGAGCUUCUUGCUCUUAUUGGGAGGGGGAGUUACUUCUCUAAGGCCAAUCAUCUGUAAAUGUCUUAUGAUGUUUCACUUAUGAAUUGCAAGCCUUUUUUAUCUUCAUUUUCUGUGAAGAACAACAAUGUCAACAUGAAUAUGGAUCCUUUUGAUUUUCUGGGAAGUUA
Molecule: unclassified non-coding RNA, 242 nt
Filed under: Hevea brasiliensis (rubber tree)
Lineage: Eukaryota; Viridiplantae; Streptophyta; Magnoliopsida; Malpighiales; Euphorbiaceae
Source: RNAcentral